RNAcentral lists this small RNA (177 nucleotides) under Arabidopsis thaliana (thale cress). RNAcentral describes it as "ATSL087240". The record is from RNAcentral. Lineage: Eukaryota; Viridiplantae; Streptophyta; Magnoliopsida; Brassicales; Brassicaceae.
AAAAACUUAAAGAUUCAACAGGAAAUUAAAGGAACAUAUUUAGGGUUUUCACAAAAGAGGCUAGAACAAAAGGAAUAAAAGAGGAAUAUCCAUUAGGUAAAGGGAAGGGGUCUAUUUAUAGCAAAUACUAGGUUGUUCUAAUUCGCUAGACGACAAAAUAGAGAGGCGGUUUGGUCC